UUCGCAACAUUUAAGACUGUAAC
RNAcentral lists this small nuclear RNA (23 nucleotides) under Arabidopsis thaliana (thale cress). RNAcentral describes it as "snRNA_05179". Lineage: Eukaryota; Viridiplantae; Streptophyta; Magnoliopsida; Brassicales; Brassicaceae. The record is from RNAcentral.